ACGCUCGACACCUACGGGAGCAGCAGUGGGGAAUAUUGCACAAUGGGGGAAACCCUGAUGCAGCGACGCCGCGUGGAGGAAGAAGGUCUUCGGAUUGUAAACUCCUGUUGUUGGGGAAAAAGAGGAUGGUACCCAACAAGGAAGUGACGGCUAACUACGUGCCAGCAGUCGNGGUAAUCUGAGCGGGCUGGCAAGGC
Molecule: ribosomal RNA, 197 nt
Filed under: uncultured bacterium
Lineage: Bacteria
Description: partial 16S ribosomal RNA
Rfam family: Bacterial small subunit ribosomal RNA
Source: RNAcentral